UCCGAAUUGGUGUAGUGGCUAACAUAUGUCGCUCUCAUUACCUCCCAUUAUAGAGGAAUGAAGUACCGACAUGCCCGGGGUUCGAUUCCCCGAUUCGGAG
Non-coding RNA from Astrocystis sublimbata, 100 nucleotides. NCBI's taxonomy places the organism in Eukaryota, Fungi, Ascomycota, Sordariomycetes, Xylariales, Xylariaceae. The record is from the annotation of a GenBank genome assembly.